AUUUAAUGAAGACACAGACACAUAAAUAGAAAGAUUGAAGAAUACACCUGACUUCUGUCUCUGCCCUACACCCCCCUACACACACACACACACACGUGUGUGCACACAUUCCCACACACAUGUGUGCACACAUUCCCACACACAGGCACACACACACAAUAAGUGAAAAAACUGAUGAUAGGAAGAAUGAACUUAGCUUAUCAGAUGUUUUUAAUUGAAAAUUUAAGUAUAAGGCUUAACAUUUAUUUAACCUAAAUAAUGUAACUUUCUUAGAGAAUUUACUUUACUAAUGAAUACUGUUGCUUAGCAGUUAAUGAAGGCUUUAUUAAAAUCAGUGCUUUGACCAAAAUAGGACCUACACAGAACAUUUAUAUAUGUGGUAAUUUGGACCUAUAUAAUUAUGUUAAAAGUUAUACUUUGAGUAUUAUGAAAUAUGAUCAGCUAAAGUUCAUCUUUGCUCCAAACAUGCUUUUAAUAUUUGUCUAUUCUUAUAUAAUGUUGUAAACUCUCCACGUCCAUAAUGUUAAAUAGCAAAGUAAAAUACACAUGUUAAAAAUGUACAAAUUUAGUUUCAAAUUCCUACUGUACUUGGGAAAAUUAGUGAGUAAAUUACUGUGUUUAAUAAUCAUUCCUAAGUUUUGACAUUGGAGAGGUGAGGAUGCACUGUAAAUUUGAAAGGUUGCUUUCUUAGCCAGUUCUGGAGGGGCAUUAGAUACUAAUGUAACAACACAUUAAAUGUACUCUGUGUAUUGUAUGUGUUUUAAAUGUUUUGAUGAAUUUUUUGACACAAGUAUAAAUUUUAGCCUGUAUCAUUGGUUUAUUAAUGGUGUUCAUAAGCAAAUGUACAAAUCUCUCUCUUUUGUUUUUGAGCUUUGAUUUCACUGUAGCCCAACGUAUAUAAUUCUUGGAUUACAGGUGGGAUCCACCAUAUCUGGCAAAAGAAUUAAAAUUUUGAUUUGGUGCACAAAUGUAGCCCAAGAGUAAUUUACUUGUGCAAUGCCUCCAAGGUAUUGGGUUUAAACCAAAGCUUUUUUUUAAUGACUAUUUUGAAUCUUAAGUUUUGUAGUUUGGGGUAAAAUGUGUCAACAAAUGGGUUUGUGAGAUCUUACGUUGUGAAUAAUUAAAGUCUUCAGACUUAAAGCUAUGUAUGUAGCACAGUCUACCUUAA
This 1168-nucleotide long non-coding RNA is filed under the name Rattus norvegicus (Norway rat). RNAcentral's name for it is "long non-coding RNA NONRATT030332". Lineage: Eukaryota; Metazoa; Chordata; Mammalia; Rodentia; Muridae. The record is from RNAcentral.